GAGGGGUGCAAGCGUUGUCUGGAUUUAUUGGGCGUAAAGAGCUCGUAGGUGGGUUUGUAAGUGAAAAUUGAAAUACAAUGGCUCAACCAUUGGAACGGUUUUCAUACUGCAAAUCUUGAGUUAUGUAGAGGUAAGUGGAAUUUCUGGUGUAGCGGUGAAAUGCGUAGAUAUCAGAAGGAACACCAAAGGCGAAGGCAACUUACUGGACAUAUACUGACACUGAGGAGCGAAAGCGUGGGUAGCAAACAGGAUUAGAGACCCUGGUAGUCCACGCCGUAAACGAUGAGUACUUGUGAUGGGAGAUUCGACCCUUUCAUUGCCGGAGUUAACGCAUUAAGUACUCCGCCUGGGAAUACGACCGCAAGUUGAAACUCAAAGGAAUUGACGGGGACCCGCACAAGUGUGAUUAUGUGGUUUAAUUCGAUGCAACGCGAAGAACCUUACCCUGACUUGACAUGUUAGUGACCGUUCCUUGAAAGCAGUUCAUUUCUUAGGCUUGCCUAAGAACACUAUCACAGGUGAUGCAUGGCUGUCGUCAGCUCGUGUCGUGAGAUGUUCGGUUAAGUCCGAUAACGAGCGCAACCCCUAUUUUUAGUUGCCAGCACGUAGUGGUGGGGACUCUAGAAAGACUGCCUGGGUUAACCAGGAGGAAGGUGGGGUCGACGUCAAGUCAGUAUGUCCCUUAUGUUCAGGGCUACACACGUAAUACAAUGGAAUAUACAAAGGGUUGCAAAUCCGCAAGGUGGAGCCAAUCCCAAAAAAUUUUCCUAAGUUCAGAUUGCAGUCUGCAACUCGACUGCAUGAAGCCGGAAUCACUAGUAAUCGCGAAUCAGCAUGUCGCGGUGAAUACGUUCCCGGGUCUU
This 863-nucleotide ribosomal RNA is filed under the name uncultured marine bacterium NH16-16. RNAcentral's name for it is "bacterial SSU rRNA". It matches the Rfam family "Bacterial small subunit ribosomal RNA", at positions 527 to 1382 of the family's 1533-position model. Lineage: Bacteria; Pseudomonadati; Pseudomonadota; Gammaproteobacteria. The record is from RNAcentral.